RNAcentral lists this ribosomal RNA (446 nucleotides) under uncultured bacterium. RNAcentral's name for it is "bacterial SSU rRNA". It matches the Rfam family "Bacterial small subunit ribosomal RNA", at positions 331 to 793 of the family's 1533-position model. The record is from RNAcentral.
CCAGACUCCUACGGGAGGCAGCAGUGGGGGAUAUUGCACAAUGGGGGAAACCCUGAUGCAGCGACGCCGCGUGUGGGAAGACGGUCCUCUGGAUUGUAAACCACUGUCCCCAGGGACGAAGAUGACGGUACCUGGGGAGGAAGCUCCGGCUAACUACGUGCCAGCAGCCGCGGUAAUACGUAGGGAGCGAGCGUUGUCCGGAAUUACUGGGUGUAAAGGGAGCGUAGGCGGCUGUGCAAGUCUGAAGUGAAAGCCCGUGGCUCAACCGCGGAACUGCUUUGGAAACUGUAUAGCUUGAGUACUGGAGAGGCAGGCGGAAUUCCUAGUGUAGCGGUGAAAUGCGUAGAUAUUAGGAGGAACACCAGUGGCGAAGGCGGCCUGCUGGACAGAAACUGACGUUGAGGCUCGAAAGCGUGGGGAGCAAACAGGAUUAGAUACCCGGGUAC